AACUUCCGUUAAUUGAUUAUGACGUACUUGUACUGAUUGAGAUUUUAACACGAAGUGAGUGGCGAACGGGUGAGUAACACGUGGGUAACCUGCCCAGAAGUAGGGGAUAACACCUGGAAACAGAUGCUAAUACCGUAUAACAGAGAAAACCGCAUGGUUUUCUUUUAAAAGAUGGCUCUGCUAUCACUUCUGGAUGGACCCGCGGCGUAUUAGCUAGUUGGUGAGGUAAAGGCUCACCAAGGCAGUGAUACGUAGCCGACCUGAGAGGGUAAUCGGCCACAUUGGGACUGAGACACGGCCCAGACUCCUACGGGAGGCAGCAGUAGGGAAUCUUCCACAAUGGACGCAAGUCUGAUGGAGCAACGCCGCGUGAGUGAAGAAGGGUUUCGGCUCGUAAAGCUCUGUUGUUAAAGAAGAACGUGGGUAAGAGUAACUGUUUACCCAGUGACGGUAUUUAACCAGAAAGCCACGGCUAACUACGUGCCAGCAGCCGCGGUAAUACGUAGGUGGCAAGCGUUAUCCGGAUUUAUUGGGCGUAAAGCGAGCGCAGGCGGUCUUUUAAGUCUAAUGUGAAAGCCUUCGGCUCAACCGAAGAAGUGCAUUGGAAACUGGGAGACUUGAGUGCAGAAGAGGACAGUGGAACUCCAUGUGUAGCGGUGAAAUGCGUAGAUAUAUGGAAGAACACCAGUGGCGAAGGCGGCUGUCUGGUCUGCAACUGACGCUGAGGCUCGAAAGCAUGGGUAGCGAACAGGAUUAGAUACCCUGGUAGUCCAUGCCGUAAACGAUGAUUACUAAGUGUUGGAGGGUUUCCGCCCUUCAGUGCUGCAGCUAACGCAUUAAGUAAUCCGCCUGGGGAGUACGACCGCAAGGUUGAAACUCAAAAGAAUUGACGGGGGCCCGCACAAGCGGUGGAGCAUGUGGUUUAAUUCGAAGCUACGCGAAGAACCUUACCAGGUCUUGACAUCUUCUGACAGUCUAAGAGAUUAGAGGUUCCCUUCGGGGACAGAAUGACAGGUGGUGCAUGGUUGUCGUCAGCUCGUGUCGUGAGAUGUUGGGUUAAGUCCCGCAACGAGCGCAACCCUUAUUACUAGUUGCCAGCAUUAAGUUGGGCACUCUAGUGAGACUGCCGGUGACAAACCGGAGGAAGGUGGGGACGACGUCAAAUCAUCAUGCCCCUUAUGACCUGGGCUACACACGUGCUACAAUGGAUGGUACAACGAGUCGCGAGACCGCGAGGUUAAGCUAAUCUCUUAAAACCAUUCUCAGUUCGGACUGUAGGCUGCAACUCGCCUACACGAAGUCGGAAUCGCUAGUAAUCGCGGAUCAGCAUGCCGCGGUGAAUACGUUCCCGGGCCUUGUACACACCGCCCGUCACACCAUGAGAGUUGUAACACC
Molecule: ribosomal RNA, 1395 nt
Filed under: Pediococcus pentosaceus
Lineage: Bacteria; Bacillati; Bacillota; Bacilli; Lactobacillales; Lactobacillaceae
Description: bacterial SSU rRNA
Rfam family: Bacterial small subunit ribosomal RNA
Source: RNAcentral